Molecule: transfer RNA, 68 nt
Filed under: Arocatus melanocephalus
Lineage: Eukaryota; Metazoa; Arthropoda; Insecta; Hemiptera; Lygaeidae
Description: tRNA-Val
Source: RNAcentral
CAAGUUAAACCUAAGGGGUUAUGUUAUUUACAAUAACAUAUAUGUUUGUGCAAUUCAAUCUAACUUGA